This 406-nucleotide ribosomal RNA is filed under the name uncultured bacterium. RNAcentral describes it as "partial 16S ribosomal RNA". It matches the Rfam family "Bacterial small subunit ribosomal RNA", at positions 29 to 526 of the family's 1533-position model. The record is from RNAcentral.
AUUGAACGCUGGCGGCAGGCCUAACACAUGCAAGUCGAACGAGUGGCGGACGGGUGAGUAAUGUCUGUGAAACUGCCCGAUGGAGGGGGAUAACUACUGGAAACGGUAGCUAAUACCGCAUACCAUCGGAUGUGCCCAGAUGGGAUUAGCUAGUAGGGGGGGUAACGGCUCACCUAGGCGACGAUCCCUAGCGGGUCUGAGAGGAUGACCGGCCAAACGGGAACUGGGACAAGGUCACAACUCCUACGGGAGGAAGCAGGGGGGAAUAUUGCAAAAUGGGCGCAAGCCUGAUGCAGCCAUGCGGCGUGUAUGAAGAAGGCCUUCGGGUUGUAAAGUACUUUCAGCGAGGAGGCGUUACUCGCAGAAGAAGCACCGGCUAACUCCGUGCCAGCAGCCGCGGUAAUAC